Molecule: microRNA, 23 nt
Filed under: Sarcophilus harrisii (Tasmanian devil)
Lineage: Eukaryota; Metazoa; Chordata; Mammalia; Dasyuromorphia; Dasyuridae
Description: Sha-Mir-7371-o19_5p (mature (co-guide))
Source: RNAcentral
GCUUGGAUAAGGUAUUCUUAUUU